GCUUCGGUAGGCUCAGCGGUAGAGCUUGUGGGACGGCACGGAUUCCAAUGAGCGGACCACUAACCGGUCAUGGUUUCCUUUUCUCAAUUGCCCGUCAACGAUAUGUGCCGUCCCGUGUGUCGCUGGUUCGACUCCAGCUCGAAGCG
RNAcentral lists this transfer RNA (146 nucleotides) under Bifidobacterium adolescentis. RNAcentral describes it as "tRNA-OTHER". Lineage: Bacteria; Bacillati; Actinomycetota; Actinomycetes; Bifidobacteriales; Bifidobacteriaceae. The record is from RNAcentral.